CCUACGGGUGGCAGCAGUGAGGAAUAUUGGUCAAUGGACGCGAGUCUGAACCAGCCAAGUAGCGUGAAGGAUGACUGCCCUAUGGGUUGUAAACUUCUUUUAUAUGGGAAUAAACUGUUCCACGUGUGGGUUUUUGUAUGUACCAUAUGAAUAAGGAUCGGCUAACUCCGUGCCCGCAGCCGCGGUAAUACGGAGGAUCCGAGCGUUAUCCGGAUUUAUUGGGUUUAAAGGGAGCGUAGGUGGAUUGUUAAGUCAGUUGUGAAAGUUUGAGGCUCAACCGUAAAAUUGCAGUUGAAACUGGCAGUCUUGAGUACAGUAGAGGUGGGCGGAAUGCGUGGUGUAGCGGUGAAAUGCUUAGAGAUCACGAAGAACUCCGAUUGCGAAGGCAGCUCACUGGACUGCAACUGACACUGAGGCUCGAAAGUGUGGGUAUCAAACAGGAUUAGAUACCCCGGUAGUC
Molecule: ribosomal RNA, 460 nt
Filed under: uncultured bacterium
Lineage: Bacteria
Description: partial 16S ribosomal RNA
Rfam family: Bacterial small subunit ribosomal RNA
Source: RNAcentral